Molecule: ribosomal RNA, 949 nt
Filed under: uncultured organism
Description: bacterial SSU rRNA
Rfam family: Bacterial small subunit ribosomal RNA
Source: RNAcentral
GAGGAAUAUUGCACAAUCGACGCAAGUCGGAUGCAGCAACGCCGCGUGGACGAUGAAGGCCUUCGGGUUGUAAAGUCCUUUUAAGAGGGACGAGGAAGGACGGUACCUCUUGAAUAAGUCUCGGCUAACUACGUGCCAGCAGCCGCGGUAACACGUAAGAGGCGAGCGUUAUCCGGAUUUAUUGGGCGUAAAGCGCAUGCAGGUGGCUAGGUAAGUCGGGUGUGAAAGCCCCGGACUUAAUCCGGGGAGGUCAUUCGAUACUGCUUGGCUUGAGAGCGGGAGAGGGAAGUGGAAUUCUCGGUGUAGUGGUGAUAUGCGUAGAUAUCGAGAGGAACACCAGUGGCGAAGGCGGCUUCCUGGCCCGUAUCUGACACUAAGAUGCGAAAGCGUGGGUAGCAAACGGACUUAGAUACUCCGGUAGUCCACGCUGUAAACGAUGGGUACUAGGUGUAGGGGGUGUAAAACUCUCUGUGCCAUAGUUAACGCACUAAGUACCCCGCCUGGGGACUACGGUCGCAAGGCUAAAACUCAAAGGAAUUGACGGGGGCCCGCACAAGCAGCGGAGCGUGUGGUUCAAUUCGAAGAUACACGAAGAACCUUACCUGGGCUUGACAUGUUGGUAGUAGUGAAGCGAAAGCGGAACGAUCCUUCGGGAAGCCAUCACAGGUGCUGCAUGGCUGUCGUCAGCUCGUGCCGUGAGGUGUUGGGUUAAGUCCUGUAACGAGCGCAACCCUCGCUGCCAGUUACAAGUGUCUGGCGGGACUGCCGGUGACAAACCGGAGGAAGGUGGGGAUGACGUCAAGUCAGCAUGGCCUUUAUGUCCAGGGCUACACACACGCUACAAUGGCCGGUACAAUAGGUUGCCAAGUCGUGAGGCGGAGCUAAUCCUCAAAACCGGUCUCAGUUCGAAUUGCAGGCUGCAACCCGCCUGCAUGAAGUUGGAGUUGCU